RNA transcript from Olea europaea var. sylvestris, 2129 nucleotides. It is a transcript of the gene named amino acid transporter AVT1C-like, with no coding region annotated. The record is from RefSeq and is a predicted model, not a curated record. Lineage: Eukaryota; Viridiplantae; Streptophyta; Magnoliopsida; Lamiales; Oleaceae. The transcript has 10 exons.
UUAAAAUGUCCUCCCUACCUUAAUUUAUUCAAACUUGCAGUGAACAUAAGCAAAACAAGAGGACUAGGAGCUCAAGGUGUCUGCAAUUUGGAACAAAUCCCAUUAGAAAAGCCUGAUAUUUUCUACCGCUUCUCAAAAGAUUUUGAAGCCUUGAGGAGUGAAAGCAAAUGAAGAAUUCGGUUUCGGACCAGAGUUUUUACGUAGAGAGUGAAGGAGAUGAUGAAGAGAAGGAAGACAACAAAGGUGAGGAUGAUGCAGAUGGAAAUGAUUCUGAUUCUUCCAAUUACUCGAAUGAUGACGAUAACUACAAUCAACGAGAGCAAAGCAAAGUCAACAGCCAGUGGCCUCAAAGUUACAGGCAAUCAAUUGAUCUAUACAGUAGUGUCCCAUCUCCUAGUCUUAACUUUCUUGGGACACCCUCGUUGUCCCGCUUAAGCAGCUCAUUUCUUUCCUCAUCGCUUACAAGGAGACACACUCCUGAGAUAUUACCUACUCUGAGCAAACCGCUCAUAUCUGCCAUAGACGAUGAUAAAGAGCAAGAUAGACAUACUUCCCAUCUUCCAAUUCCGCCUACCUCAACAAGGAAGCCUAGCAUAAAGAAAACAAGUAUUUAUGAGAAAACUUCAAAGGUCUCACACGAACUUCCAAUUUCUCGCCAGAGCUCAUACAGACAAGCAGUGAUAAACGGGAUGAAUGUUCUAUGUGGAGUUGGAAUCCUUUCUACUCCUUAUGCUGUCAAAGAAGGAGGCUGGGCUGGGCUUUCUAUAUUGUUGAUUUUUUCAGUGCUCUCUUUCUACACUGGGAUUCUCCUACGUUACUGCUUGGACAGCGAACCCGGCCUUGAAACAUACCCGGACAUUGGCCAGGCUGCCUUUGGUACUGUGGGACGUGUUGCAAUAUCUAUAAUUUUAUACGUCGAGUUAUAUGCUUGCUGCGUUGAGUAUAUUAUUCUGGAGAGUGAUAAUUUGUCCUCGUUGUUCCCAAAUGCACAUUUAAACUUUGGAGUGUUCGAUUUAAACUCUCGCCAUCUUUUUGCAUUGAUGGCCACCCUUGCUGUUCUUCCUACCGUUAUGUUACGAGACCUGAGUGUUCUUAGCUACAUAUCUGCUGGAGGAGUUGUCGCUUCCCUUUUGGUGGUUGCAUGCUUGUUCUGGGUUGGCUUAGUCGAUCAAGUUGGCUUCCAGGCGAAAGGGACGAUAUUGAACCUCUCUACUCUUCCAGUUGCUAUUGGUCUCUAUGGUUAUUGCUACUCGGGCCAUGCUGUCUUUCCCAAUAUCUACACAUCAAUGGAGAAACGGAGCCUGUACCCUGCAGUCCUCCUAGCAAGUUUUGGGAUUUGCACUCUGUUGUAUGCUGCAGUUGCUGGUAUGGGAUAUACUAUGUUUGGAGAAACAGUGCAAUCACAGUUCACUCUCAACAUGCCUAAAGAUUUAGUUGCAUCUAAAAUUGCUCUUUGGACAACGGAUCUUCAUUAUGUUAAGUUGAUAUAUGAUCCGGGUUGUUGCAUGAAAUUGAGCUUUGAUUGCUGAUCUCCAAGUCAAAUGUUAAGCAAAUGGUUGUAACUUGUUUUUAUGCCUACUCUUUGCAGGUGGUGAAUCCAUUUACCAAAUAUCCUUUUCUGAUACUAUUUGCUGAUAUUAUGAAAGAGGACAGCAAUAAUUUUCCUUCUUGUGGCACUUCCUUAACAAAAGAUAAAUAGCAGGACAGCAGCCUUAGGUUCAAAGACUUGUGUAUUGGAGAAACUUAUAAAAAAAAUAUAAGUACCUAGCAAUAUAAGGUAGUUAAAUCGUAGCACGGUUAGAUCAUAUCAGGUGAAAAAGCAGACUUGAUUACACUGAAGUACAUCGAACUAGGAGCCAUUCAUUGAUUUCACUUGCACAUAAUUUAUUUUCUUAAUGGUUUCAAAGGAUAAAAAGUUAUCUUUCUUAACUAGAAAUACAUAUGCAUUAACGAUAUCCCCUGUGGCAAUGAGUUUGGAGGAAUUGAUACCGUCGAAUCAUGCCAAAUCCCGUUUGUAUGCAAUCCUCAUCAGAACAGCUUUGGUGAUAUCUACGUUGAUUGUGGGUCUUGUCAUCCCCUUCUUUGGUCUGCUGAUGGCAUUAAUCGGAUCAUUACUAACAAUGCUAGUU